RNAcentral lists this microRNA precursor (84 nucleotides) under Bombyx mori (domestic silkworm). Its description in RNAcentral is "mir-2807 microRNA precursor family". It matches the Rfam family "mir-2807 microRNA precursor family". The record is from Rfam by way of RNAcentral. Lineage: Eukaryota; Metazoa; Arthropoda; Insecta; Lepidoptera; Bombycidae.
CUAACUCAAAUUUGUAUGCAGUUGGAACAGCGCCCCUAGCGGCAAACGUAGGCAAACGUUCCAACUUCAUACAAAUUUGAGUUA